RNAcentral lists this long non-coding RNA (3196 nucleotides) under Nicotiana tabacum (common tobacco). RNAcentral's name for it is "long non-coding RNA (NTAB_LNC003416)". The record is from RNAcentral. Lineage: Eukaryota; Viridiplantae; Streptophyta; Magnoliopsida; Solanales; Solanaceae.
CGCGAAUUUUAAACUGUACUUAUGUUUUUCUCCUGCGUUACUGUUGGUAAAAUGAUAUUUCCCCGCAGCAUGUCCCAUCCUUACUUGUAUUUUUCUGUUUUAUUUUUCGUUGUAUAUGGUAUAACUACACAGGUUUAUUUGGUAGUCUGGUCGUAGCCUCGUCACUACUUCGUCAGGGUUAGGCUAGGCACUUACCAGCAUAUGGGGUCGGUUGUGCUGAUACUACACUCUGCACCGUGUGCAGAUCCCGAAGCAGCAACAUUUGGACCUUAGUUUGGGUGGCUGCCUUCAGUCCAGUUGGAGAUUCCGAGGUAGUCCUGCAGGCGUCCGCAGGCCCUGGCGUCUCCUUCUAUCCCUUUAUCCUGUUUCAUUUACAUAUUUUAGAAAUAGUGUAUCAUUUAUUUUUCAGAUCUUGUUUGUAGUAAUUCUAGACUGUUUAUGAAGCGUGACACCAGUUCUGGGUAGAUUUUAUUUAAGAUGUUGUGUUGGAUAUAUAUAUUCAAAUGGUUUUAUUGAUUCUUCCGCUUGUUUAAAACUUCGCUGCUUAUAAGCUAUUAUUUCAUAAUUGUAAAGGAUUAAAAAUGGGAAAAAGGGAUAAUUUGUUCAAACUGUUAGCUUGUCUAACUUUCAUUAGUAGGCGCCAUCACGACUCCCGAGGGUGGAAAAUCUGGGUCAUGACAUCAACACACAAAAGACUCGAGGUCGUUCCCACCUAAUAAAAGAAAAAUAAAAUACUAUGAGUUCUACUUUCGGCCUCCAAAUACAAAUACUUCGGGGCAUAACCCAGAUAAAAAUAUAUACAGAGUCUAUGGGACAUUCCCCUAAAUAUAAACUAAAGGGAACGACCUCUCACCUUGGAUAAAAUAAUAGAAAGGCCUUAAAGUUUGCCUACCCAAUUGUGGUCGACCUAAGCAUGCUCCUAGCGAUUGAGAAAAAUAGAAAUAAAAUUAAACUAAAGUAAAUAAAACUCAUUUCUUUUUCACCUUCUUUUAACUCUUCAUUUCAUGUAUUUGACCCACCUCAAUUUCUAAAACGCGCGAGCAAUUUGAAUCACUAAUGGGAUAGGCCUCUACCAAACUCCAAGGCUCAAUGCCACAUAAACAUGCCACAGAAUAACUGUGAAGAGCAAAUAAACAUCCAAACAUAGGAAGUGAACAAACAAACAAGAGGAAAGGUAGGUAAUAAGACAAAAGAAAUGGUGGAUUGAAAUAUGAUAAGAGCUUUAAAACUUCUCCUUAAUCUCAUCCCUGUACCCACAUCUCCUAAUUUUCUUAAAACCAAAUAAACUCCAAACAACAUCUAACAAAUAAUCCAAGCUAAAAUCAAAUAAGCUUCAAACAACAUUUAAUAGAUAAUUCUACGAUUGAUUAAGCCUGCAGAACUCAACAACAAACAUUGAAUUUAAUUCUUCACUUCUUAUGAUCUGACUAACUCAAACUGAUGAUCCAAAAUUCCCACACAAAUGCCAGCAGUGAUAAAUUAGCAUUCCCACCACAACAUAUUAAACUAGUCAAGGUAGAAAGGGAAAAUUCCAACAUGAGAUCAAAUUCGGCGCGAAGCAACAUGAUAAGCUCAUGACUACUAAAUAGUAAGGUUUUAAAUGAGUUAGGAUUCAACAACCAAGAAGAAAACAAUUUCAAGGGAGUGAGGAUUAGGUACACAAGACUAGAUUAACUAAAAAGAAGACGAAGGGCAAUGCAUUCUGCUAGAACCACAACAAGAUUUAUGAAAUAGGCACAGAGCUCCAACUAAUAGCCAGAAGAACUAAUUUUAUAACCAGGCAAACAAACAGGAGCAAGGGAAACUAAUAAUCACUCAAUUGAACAUCAAUAUAUCCUACAGGAAAGAAACAAAAAUAUGAAAAUGCACCAGAAAUCUUUAUGCACCAAAGAACUGUCCCAAAACGCGUGGUGGAGUGUCGUUAUCCUAUACAAAUGGAAGCUAAAUAAACUGAUUUGGAAUUAAUUGAAGGCGUUGGAACUAUAUGAACUGAUUUUUUGCACCUAAAUUCUAGAAGAUCAGCAUUACAAACUCAAGAAAUCAAAAGCAAAGAUUUGACCAUUUCUGAACUUAACGGGGAUAUCAGACCCUCAUUUGAAGGGAAUGAUCACACUUAAGCCCCCACAAAAAUUGAAGCAAAUGGGAUGAAAUAGAGACAUACUAAUCUGGAUUGUAGCGACUUGAACAAUGAUAGUUAUGGCUUAAGUAUCGAUUUUAUUACUCAGACAGCACAAAAUAAUAAGAACAAAACUCGAAUAUUUCCAUCAAGAGCAGAACUACAUUUGAAACACAUAUUCAAACACAAAUCCAUUCAAAACUGUCUAUUAAGCACAUAUAAACUCAUUCUAUACCCUUAAGAUGUUGUAGACACUAAUGAAUCCCAAACGACCACCAUAGCUCUUAUCAUAUUUCAAACAACCCCAAAAUAGAUUAAGAAAGAUUAGAGAUAAACCUGAAUCAGCAGACACUUUUAAUUAACUUUGCUCGAACGCUAAAUACACGUGAAAUCCAGCAGCGAAGAUCAAAACCAACAGCAACAAAAAAAAACAGGAAUCCCGAGCCACAGACGACCCUCAAGUUAGCGACUCGAUCACUUGAACCUCGGGCAUCAACGACUUCAACAACCUUGGCUCGACUCCAUUUACUAACAUAGAUUGAAGAUGAAACUGAAAUCCGACUCUACACUCACUAGAAAACAGAAACGUAAAAGGAAUCUUUUGAAAUGACCUAAAAUCUAAAAUCAAACUCGAAGAUGAGAAGAAGCUCAAUUUUCUUCUCCAAAUCUUAGAGCAGAGAAGAAGAGCCCCUUUUAAAAACCCCUAAUUCUCCUCCCAAACCCACAAAUAUAUACUCCAUCUCGAAACUUCUAUACUUGUCUUCCAAGAAAACCCAAAAAUCUUCCAAACACAUCCAAAAUUCGGUUUUUUGAUCAGUAAAGGACAAGUGGAGGGAGUAGAUUGUGUUUAACUCAAUUCUAUGCCCCCAAUUAAUCCUAAUCUAGUCUUCAAAUGAAAUUCGGGUGAGAUGAGCGUAUGAGAGAGAGGCGGCCUCGAUUUGUCAGAGUUUGUUACGGAUUCAGCUGACGUGGAAGGAAUAUGAGGGGAGGGGACCAUGGAGGGUUCGUUUAUGUUGGGGUUUGGGUUGGGUUAAGGUGGGAGAAGGGUUUGAGGGAGAAUAGGAGUGCGGCUGAGGUCUU